UUCUCAAUCUGGUCGGAAAAAAAGCUUUGGAGAAUCAAUUUGAUACACCACACAAAACGUUCGAAAGUCCUCAGCUAUCAAGAGAGUUAUAUAAUCAUUGGACAAUAGGGAAUAUUAUGUUCUAUUCAAACGCAAUCAAAAUACGCUGAGUUGAUUAGAGCCUGCUAAUAAGUAUAGCUCUGAAGGAUUUUACCGUCUCCAAAAUAAAUAGUUUUACCGCUUAAAUAAAUAAGGCAUCAAGUUUGACCUUUCCUUUGAGAUUCAAUUGCAUUAAUUUCAAUCAUAAUCCAGCCACUCUUUGAUUUAAUUACAGUUUUCUUUAUUAAGGUCAAUUCAUUUUUUUCUUGAUCGUUUCUCCAUAAUGGGUAACCUUGGAUACAAACUUAUUUUUCUAAUUUCCCUCCAAAUUGUUUCUUUGACAUGUUUGGACAUCGAGUUCGGAGAGUGUCCCACGUAUCUAAUUCCGACUCAUAUUUUGAAGGAGUCGACUGCAGGAAGAUGGUAUCAAAUAGCAACUUUCAAUCCCAGCUUUGGCGACAGACUUAGACCUUGUGUUUAUGUCGACAUUGAUUUGAACAAAAAUUUCUUAGGACAUCUUACCAUUGAAAUCAACACAACUACUUACGACAAAAUCCAAAAUUCUUUUACGAAGACUCAUCUGAAAGGAAGACAAGCUGCUAUUCAUUGGGGCACCGGUAUUGGGGAAUUCCAGUUACACAAUGGAAAUCUAACUGUGACCGAUGAAAAAACCUAUGCGAACUUCCACAUUGUAUACACCAAUGACAAAUACCUUCUUGUUUACUUUUGCAACGAACUGGCCAACUUCUACCAUAUUCGACACGCUUGGAUUCUUUCACGAGAUAGGAAUGUUGGGCAAAAUAAUUUAGAGUAUCUGAAAACAAUCAUGAGCUUCAUGACUGGAACUGAUAUUUUAGAAGACAACUUUGCAGACUUUGAUAAACUGCAGUGUCCGUUAGAAAUUACUAAAUAGAAGUCAAGAGAUUACGAAUCACAUUAAAUGUUUUAUAUUGUUGUGAUACAAUUUAUUGGACGGUUAGUAUGGUGA
Molecule: long non-coding RNA, 1066 nt
Organism: Symsagittifera roscoffensis
Lineage: Eukaryota; Metazoa; Xenacoelomorpha; Acoela; Convolutidae
Exons: 3
Source: RefSeq, a predicted model, not a curated record